CAGAAGAACCAUGGCUCUUUGGCCCUCAUCACUUGCUGAGCCCCACUGUAUUGGCUUCGAAAUGUACUGUACAAUAUUGGCUUUCUGUCAGCAUGCUGAUGCCAUAAACUAAUAAUGUGCACAGCUAAGAAUGGAGGCAAGCUAGUCAGGUCCUCAAUCCAAGUGAGGAGAUUAAAAAAUAUGGGAACAGUACCAGCUCAUAGCCUAUGCAAUACAACUGCAAGAGCGAAACAGUAGGUAAACAAUCAAAUGGGGGUUAACUUCCAAGGUGAUGUUGUGAUGAGCAUAAAUGUUGAAACAUGGCUACAGGAAAAUUAUACUACUGUAUAUAGGUAGGAGGAGACAUAUACAGGAAGAGCUUCAUAAACAGUAGUAAGGCUUAGCAGUUUGCACAGCUUACCGGGUAUCUAGUACCUCACAGUUACAGUCCUUGCAGAAAUAGUUUGAGUAGGGGAAGAUUUGCAAGAAGCGAAUCUGAAAAAACAGCAGGUAAGAACUAAGAACUCAUAAUGUAAAAGAAGAUACUUUUGUUUCUAAGAAAUUAGUUACAGACCAGUGAGUAAAGUUCUCCAACACGGUUCUGCAAGGGUGUUCCACUAAGAGCCCACUUGUAUUCUGACUCUAAAGCAAAAACAGCCCUUGCAGUAUUACAUCGUCGAUCUUUUAUGAAAUGAGCCUGCAGAAAGAAAAAGAACAUGAAAGAAUAAUUCAUCAAAAAUGAAUAGGGUCAUCAUUGUUCAAUUUUUAAAAUGUAAAGUAGAUACUAACAGAUCGAGAUACUCAUCCAAGCAGAAACAUCACUGUAUUACGUCAUUGAUGAAGUUAACACAACAAUGUACUUCCCAAAAUGUAAAGCUUGGCAUUAAUUCUCAAAUUUCAUCAAAUGGUAUCUUAAUUAGACAAAAACAUCAAGUAAAUGGCAGUCCACUUAAAUAUAUCCAUUCAACAAAACCUAAUAUCUCCAUUAACUACUAAAACAGACUAGGGGAAAACAAAAUGCUUGAAAAAGGGAACAAAUAUGGAUAAGAUCCUUUGGACAGUUGGACUUCACACCAGGCUAUUGGUCCACAUCUCAGUAUUGAGAAAUAUUGACAUAAUAAGAAUACUCAACAACACCAUAAUCUAUGGCUGCCAGAGAAAAACACUGUAUAUCAGUACAGAGUUAUAAAACCUGUGGACUGCAGUUGCACAUAAUUUCCCUCUCAAAUUUCUUGAUUUACACUAUCCGUAUGGUGCAGCAACCAUAGAUAUACAGACUUAGAUAAGCAGAAUUACAAUAUGCUUGAAAUGUGAUGCAGUUAGCACACUACAAUGCGGUAAGCCAAUCUACCUUGCACUUUUUUUAGUCUAAUUAGUAAUCAAACUAGAAAGUUUUGAUUCUUGCAUGUGUCACCCCCAGACAUUACAAUAUAGGACAACCAAAAAGAGUAUACAAUUGUGGGUUAUUAUACAAGGUAAACAACUCUAACAAUUAUUAUGAUGAAACUGCCAGCAAUGUUCUAAAAAUGGAUCUAAAUGGCCUUAUACAAGUACCUACCUAUUGCUGCAUCAUCACCAGUUAGGGUGCAUGAUUGGGCCGAUUUGGCUGUGUGAUCGCUACUAGAUGUGCCCAAAGGAAUCCUGGUUACAAAUUUGUAGAACAUUGGCUAAUGUCUACAAUAACUCCAAGUGUAUCACCUAAAACAGUAGAAUUCGCUAAUAUUGUAGAGAUGGCAUGUUCUGCCCUGACCUAUAAUAUCAAGUUUGCGUAGAGGCACCCAUUUUGGCUUUUCUUAAAUCAGAUAGUAUUAAGUCACCUUAAUUUCUCCAGCUCAACAGAUCUCACAACCAAUCAAUUAAUCAAGAACCAUUAUUCCAGUGAACAAAUCAAAGAAAGAGUUGUUCAUCAGUUGUUAGAAAUCAUUGCUACGUAGUUCCGUUUACUAAUUUGAUCCCUUCAUGGAUAUGUUUUCCCCUGUUUGAUAACUUUAAUAUGAACUCAUAUCAGUUUCUAGUUAAACAGAAAUAGGUUUACUUCGCCCAUUAAGGAAAAAAAUAGCCUCUCCAUGCUAUGGACUACUAUAAGUGUCAUCAUUUGGCUACAUCAUACUAAAUUAAGGAAAAAUUAAACUGUGUUCUUUGGUCACUGGAAUAUAAAUUCAUAUUUCUUUCUAGUAAAAUAGAAAAUGGAAUUCCAUACCUAGUUCAGGAAAAGAAAAUAUCCACUUAAUGGUAUAGAUUACCAACAGUUCCAUUUGCCUCCCGUAUACUAAACCAAGAAUUCUUUCUCAAAUCUAAUUGCACUUAUAAACUAUCACUCAAAAACAUUAAAUUCCAAUAUAACAGGCACAAAAAUCACCUCAUC
Molecule: long non-coding RNA, 2344 nt
Organism: Phragmites australis (common reed)
Lineage: Eukaryota; Viridiplantae; Streptophyta; Magnoliopsida; Poales; Poaceae
Exons: 3
Source: RefSeq, a predicted model, not a curated record